This 627-nucleotide ribosomal RNA is filed under the name uncultured Russulaceae. RNAcentral's name for it is "LSU rRNA". It matches the Rfam family "Eukaryotic large subunit ribosomal RNA", at positions 47 to 649 of the family's 3401-position model. The record is from RNAcentral. Lineage: Eukaryota; Fungi; Basidiomycota; Agaricomycetes; Russulales; Russulaceae.
UAAGCGGAGGAAAAGAAACUAACAAGGAUNCCCNUAGUAACUGCGAGUGAAGCGGGAAAAGCUCAAAUUUAAAAUCUGGUGGUCUUUGGCCAUCCGAGUUGUAAUUUAGAGAAGCGUCUUCCGCGCUGGACCGUGCACAAGUCUCCUGGGAUGGAGCGUCGUAGAGGGUGAGAAUCCCGUCUUUGGCACGGAUGUACCAGGGCUUUUGUGAUGCGCUCUCGAAGAGUCGAGUUGUUUGGGAAUGCAGCUCAAAAUGGGUGGUGAACUCCAUCUAAAGCUAAAUACUGGCGAGAGACCGAUAGCGAACAAGUACCGUGAGGGAAAGAUGAAAAGCACUUUGGAAAGAGAGUGAAACAGUACGUGAAAUUGUUGAAAGGGAAACGCUUGAAGUCAGUCGCGUCGACCGAGACUCAGCCUCGCCUCGGCUUGGUGUACUUCUCGGCUGACGGGUCAGCAUCAAUUUUGCCCCUUGGAUAAUGGCGAGGGAAAUGUGACACCUUCACGGUGUGUUAUAGUCUCUCGUCGCAUGCAAGGGUUGGGAUUGAGGAACUCAGCACGCGCCUUUCGGCGUCGGGGCUUUGCCCACGAUACGUGCUUAGGAUGUUGGCGUAAUGGCUUUAAACGACC